GACGAACGCUGGCGGCGUGCUUAACACAUGCAAGUCGAACGUGAUUUUUGUGGAAAUUCUUUCGGGAAUGGAAAUGAAAUGAAAGUGGCGAACGGGUGAGUAACACGUGAGCAACCUACCUUACACAGGGGGAUAGCCGUUGGAAACGACGAUUAAUACCGCAUGAGACCACAGAAUCGCAUGAUAUAGGGGUCAAAGAUUUAUCGGUGUAAGAAGGGCUCGCGUCUGAUUAGCUAGUUGGAAGGGUAAAGGCCUACCAAGGCGACGAUCAGUAGCCGGUCUGAGAGGAUGAACGGCCACAUUGGAACUGAGACACGGUCCAAACUCCUACGGGAGGCAGCAGUGGGGAAUAUUGCACAAUGGGGGGAACCCUGAUGCAGCGACGCCGCGUGAGCGAAGAAGGUUUUCGAAUCGUAAAGCUCUGUCCUAUGAGAAGAUAAUGACGGUAUCAUAGGAGGAAGCCCCGGCUAAAUACGUGCCAGCAGCCGCGGUAAUACGUAUGGGGCGAGCGUUGUCCGGAAUUAUUGGGCGUAAAGGGUACGUAGGCGGUUUUUUAAGUCAGGUGUGAAAGCGUGAGGCUUUAACCUCAUUAAGCACUUGAAACUGGAAGACUUUAGUGAAGGGAGAGGAAAGUGGAAUUCCUAGUGUAGCGGGAAAUGCGUAUAUAUUUAGGAGGAAUACCGGGGGCGAAGGGACUUUCUGGACUUUUACUGACGCCCGGGACGAAAGCUCGGGUAGCAAACAGGAUUAAAAACCUGGGUAGUCCAAGGGCGAGUCCCCAGGGGAUACAAGCUAAUCGAUACCCCCGCCCCCCAAUGGAGAACAAAAAAAAAAUUUUUUGUUCCUUGAAGAAGGGUAACAACCCCCCCCGC
RNAcentral lists this ribosomal RNA (872 nucleotides) under uncultured Parvimonas sp. RNAcentral describes it as "partial 16S ribosomal RNA". It matches the Rfam family "Bacterial small subunit ribosomal RNA", at positions 28 to 873 of the family's 1533-position model. Lineage: Bacteria; Bacillati; Bacillota; Tissierellia; Tissierellales; Peptoniphilaceae. The record is from RNAcentral.